RNAcentral lists this ribosomal RNA (721 nucleotides) under Halomonas sp. S4-13. Its description in RNAcentral is "bacterial SSU rRNA". It matches the Rfam family "Bacterial small subunit ribosomal RNA", at positions 396 to 1109 of the family's 1533-position model. The record is from RNAcentral. Lineage: Bacteria; Pseudomonadati; Pseudomonadota; Gammaproteobacteria; Oceanospirillales; Halomonadaceae. RNAcentral also lists the same sequence under 2 other names.
GCCGCGUGUGUGAAGAAGGCUUUCGGGUUGUAAAGCACUUUCAGCGAGGAAGAAAGCCUCUGGGUUAAUACCCCAGAGGAAGGACAUCACUCGCAGAAGAAGCACCGGCUAACUCCGUGCCAGCAGCCGCGGUAAUACGGAGGGUGCGAGCGUUAAUCGGAAUUACUGGGCGUAAAGCGCGCGUAGGUGGCUUGGCACGCCGGUUGUGAAAGCCCCGGGCUCAACCUGGGAACGGCAUCCGGAACGGCCAGGCUAGAGUGCAGGAGAGGAAGGUAGAAUUCCCGGUGUAGCGGUGAAAUGCGUAGAGAUCGGGAGGAAUACCAGUGGCGAAGGCGGCCUUCUGGCCUGACACUGACACUGAGGUGCGAAAGCGUGGGUAGCAAACAGGAUUAGAUACCCUGGUAGUCCACGCCGUAAACGAUGUCGACUAGCCGUUGGGACCUUUAAGGACUUAGUGGCGCAGUUAACGCGAUAAGUCGACCGCCUGGGGAGUACGGCCGCAAGGUUAAAACUCAAAUGAAUUGACGGGGGCCCGCACAAGCGGUGGAGCAUGUGGUUUAAUUCGAUGCAACGCGAAGAACCUUACCUACCCUUGACAUCCAGAGAAGUUGGCAGAGAUGCCUUCGUGCCUUCGGGAACUCUGAGACAGGUGCUGCAUGGCUGUCGUCAGCUCGUGUUGUGAAAUGUUGGGUUAAGUCCCGUAACGAGCGCAACCCUUGUC